CAGCGCUUGGCCUCUGCUGAUGCCGUCGUUGUCCUACCCCUCCCCCGUCCCAGCUCUGCGGCGGCCGCGCGCUCCAGGCCGGUCGCUCCACCCCCCGGCUCCCGGGACUGUGGACUCCACGACCCUGUCCUCGGCCCUGUCCGCGCCGAAGCAGCCCGGGACUGCGCAGCGCCCCGCGUGCCGCAAAGAAGAUGCUUAUGAUGGAGUCACAUCUGAAAACAUGAGGAAUGGACUGGUUAAUAGUGAAGUCCAUAAUGAAGAUGGAAGAAAUGGAGAUGUCUCUCAGUUUCCAUAUGUGGAAUUUACAGGAAGAGAUAGUGUCACCUGCCCUACUUGUCAGGGAACAGGAAGAAUUCCUAGGGGGCAAGAAAACCAACUGGUGGCAUUGAUUCCAUAUAGUGAUCAGAGAUUAAGGCCAAGAAGAACAAAGCUGUAUGUGAUGGCUUCUGUGUUUGUCUGUCUACUCCUUUCUGGAUUGGCUGUGUUUUUCCUUUUCCCUCGCUCUAUCGACGUGAAAUACAUUGGUGUAAAAUCAGCCUAUGUCAGUUAUGAUGUUCAGAAGCGUACAAUUUAUUUAAAUAUCACAAACACACUAAAUAUAACAAACAAUAACUAUUACUCUGUCGAAGUUGAAAACAUCACUGCCCAAGUUCAAUUUUCAAAAACAGUUAUUGGAAAGGCACGCUUAAACAACAUAACCAUUAUUGGUCCACUUGAUAUGAAACAAAUUGAUUACACAGUACCUACCGUUAUAGCAGAGGAAAUGAGUUAUAUGUAUGAUUUCUGUACUCUGAUAUCCAUCAAAGUGCAUAACAUAGUACUCAUGAUGCAAGUUACUGUGACAACAACAUACUUUGGCCACUCUGAACAGAUAUCCCAGGAGAGGUAUCAGUAUGUCGACUGUGGAAGAAACACAACUUAUCAGUUGGGGCAGUCUGAAUAUUUAAAUGUACUUCAGCCACAACAGUAAAAACUGGAAGAGAUGGAUUUAAAGAAGAAAUAUCUACUGAUAUUUCCUAUACUCUCAAUGAAGAGGUAUUUCCUAAUAGGAGACCUUAAAUUGAACAAACCUAAAGUUUACACUUCUAAGAGUACAGUUAAAAGUAUGUGGACCUGCAGUUCUUGUAACUCUCCACUCUGUGUUAAUGAUAUAUUUGUACUAGGAUCUUUUACUUGAAUCUAAAUUUACUGGUUGAUUUCCUUCUCCAGCCUAUCCCCUACAGGGAAAAGCUGAUACUUCCCCUAUAGUCCAAUAAAUAAUUAUUUAAAAGUCAUAGCUCCAGUCACUACUGAAAACAUAAUUUUGGUGAUAAACAUAAUUUGAGAAACUUAAUUUCUGAAUGUUUUUAUAGAAAAUUACUGAAAGUCUAUUACUCAUGGAAGACUUUUAAAGAAUAACCUUUUUUCCUGUUUUAUAAAUUCCCAUUGUUAUAUGGUAGUAUUUCAGCUACACAAUAUUUUAGCUUUUAGCUAGACAUUUAUAGCUUUUCAUUUGUUGAAACGGUAAUCAUCUGCAUGUUUUUGUCACUUAUUUCAGGUUAGUGAUUGCCUAACACUUAUAAGCCAAAAUAAUCUUUGCAAAAUUCCAUACCUAAAAUUUUGAAAGCCCCUAAUGUUUUCACACAUCUUUCUGUAUUAGUUAUAGUUUUGUGAAAUCUUUGUGUGAUCUUCAAACAUUAUCAUUUAAUGUACAAUACUGUAAAUAAACUGUGCAUGGCUUUUAUACAGCUUUAGUAAAUGUCAAAUAAAGUGGUACAGACUCAUUACAACAAGUUUCUCAUAAAAAUACAAUAAAUAGGAAAAUAAAAUUCAGAAACCCAUAAACUGGGAAUAGGUUCCAAUUACAUCAUGGAUCUGGCAUAAAAUAAAUUUGAAAUAAAGUAUUUUGAUGCUCCAUUUUUUUAUGUUGCUUUUCAUACUAAAGAAUGGUGUAGACAUGUUUUGCAACUGUUAGGUACCCAGUUAUCAAUUUUAUCAAUGUUUUAGAGGAGGAAAUUAUUUUUUUGAUAGAAAUUGUUCAAGAAAUCCUUAAUUGAAUGUCAUUAAAUGAUGGUGGCCAAAAUAAAACCUAUUUAGAAAUUUAAUCACUUUGCACAUCACUUGGAAUAUGAUGCCUCUAGUAGUUACUUUUUUAUAGUUUUCUACUUUUGGUUUUAAUUUUAUUUAAAAUUGUUUUCAAAUAUAGAUUAUUGACUUAUUCAACUUUGCUGUUUUAUAUUUUCAGUAUCAUUUUUCAUUUGUUUUUUUUUUUUUGUCUUUUCACUUGCCAAGUUCUAGGGACAUUUAAAAUAUGUACUAAGUGUAGGAGUGGUUAUGAUACCAAAAAGUGUAGCUGGGUUGAGAUUAAUUGCGUUCUGUUUUCUCAUGACAGAAAUCAGGUUUCCCUUUCCCCACCCCUAAGUGCCUAACUUAGGUCUGAAACAGCCUGUUUAUUAGUCUGACUCUCUCAGCCAUAAAACAUAAGCUUUAUUUAAUUCUGCCUUUAUACACACUCAGGUUUCCCCUUAAUUUUCAUAUUAUUUUCUGCAAGUUUUCCUGGGUAUCUUAAAUUCGUCGAAUGUGGUUUUUGUUUUUUUUUGUUUUGUUUUUUUAACACUAGUCUUCCCUUAAUUCAUUGCUAACUCAAGCCAUCCUUACUAUUAAACCCAAAUCAGUCCUUUAAGUUCAUUAUGGCCUUUCUAGUAUUUAAAAAAAAAAAAAUCAUUUUCAUUUUUCUGCUACAUUUCCUGACUACUACUGCAUACUUCUCUGAUACAGAUUCUGUUUGUAUUUUUUAUAUCAUUGUCAUUUGACAUGAUCUGUGUCUAUAUAUGAUAUAGGUCCCCUUUUGUCUCAAAAUUUUUAAUUAUGUGACUUCAAAAAUCACCUAUUAUCUCUAGUAGGGCUUCCAAAUCUGCUUCUCCAUAUGUGACCAGUCACCUGUCUGCUUUCACAUUUAGCUAGUGAACUACACAUUUAAUAAAAUGUGUAAAUUUUACACAUUUAGUGACUGUGUAAAAUCAAAAAAAAAGUUAUUUUGUCAUAUCCUUUCUAUUAUGUUCCCAUCCUGUCCUCAUGUCCCAUUUACUUUAUUAUCACCAUUCAUUUCUUCAAAAUUAUCUUUUAGAUACACUCAUACAGAAAUCAAUCCUUGUUUUCUUGCUUGUGUCUUUUAACCUUGGAAAAUUACAUUGUGUAAAUUAAACAGAUUUUUCUGAUGAUCUGUGCUUCUUAUAUACUAUUAGAGUGCAUGACAGUAUCUCCCAAAAAGGAUGGAAAGUAGAAGAAGCAUUUGCUUUUAGUCACUUAAUUUUGAAUCUUUUUUUCUUCAUCUUUUGAAUUAAUUUUUUUUUACUAUAUCUACUUUUAGUGGAGUUUGAGUCAGAAAAAAACAAGAAUUUGAAACAAGUAAAAAGAUAGAAGAGAAAUAAAGAUGGUAUGUGACUACUUUCAGAGAGAGUUAAGUAACUGUCAGAAUAAGCCUGGAACAAAACAGGCUGUAAAUUAAUAAAACUACAAACACACAUUCAGGUGAAGCAGAAGUAUAGCCAUAAAACAUCUAGAAAGAGCGAAUGAGGCUUUUAGCUUUUCUUAGGUCAGUGUCCAAUGUGCUUUUUUCCAUGGGAAUAGGAUAGGUAUUAAUACGCUUUUCUAAACUGCUCUCAGACCUUAUCCAGAGGACAUGGUAAAGAUAUGUUACAGAAAUUUUUCUGAUACUUCCUGGAAUAACUUCAAGUUACACCCUAGUAGACUGGUCAUUCUAAUAAAAUCCAGUACUAUAACAAACCUCUGUAUGUUGAUAGCACAUUGGCCCUUUUUAGAGUUCUUUCCUAUGUUUUUCUUACAUGAUUUCCCACAGUUCCAUGAGUCCAACAAGGAGAGUGAUAGGCUCCUUAUCUUUUAGAAGAGGAAGGAAAGGCAUGAAGAAGUUGAGGGACUGGCUGAAGAUCACGUACUUACUAAGUAGUACAACUGGAGCAAGACCAAGUAUCUCUGUCUCCCAUAUCUGUGUUCUAUCGUUUAAAAUAUAUAUUGGAAAUCCCUGCUGACUCAGAUUGGUAUGAUUAAAAAUGAGAGGAAAGUUCAAAUAGUUAGUAGUGACAAUCAAACUAAUACUGCUGGACUAAGAUUUUGGUAGCAUUGUUUUCUAAAAUAUUUUAAAUGGAGAAUGAACACUUAUAAAAUGCUUUGGAACAUAAUCUUUAGCUUAAUUUUCUGUUAAAAUUUAGUACCCCUUCAUCAUUCCAAUAAAGACUGAUCCAUUGU
This 4245-nucleotide long non-coding RNA is filed under the name Pan troglodytes (chimpanzee). RNAcentral's name for it is "long non-coding RNA NONPTRT015484". The record is from RNAcentral. Lineage: Eukaryota; Metazoa; Chordata; Mammalia; Primates; Hominidae.